GGGGCUAUAGCUCAGCUGGGAGAGCGCUUGAAUGGCAUUCAAGAGGUCGUCGGUUCGAUCCCGAUUAGCUCCACCA
RNAcentral lists this transfer RNA (76 nucleotides) under Desulfobulbus oralis. Its description in RNAcentral is "tRNA-Ala(ggc)". It matches the Rfam family "tRNA". Rfam says of the family: Transfer RNA (tRNA) molecules are approximately 80 nucleotides in length. Their secondary structure includes four short double-helical elements and three loops (D, anti-codon, and T loops). Further hydrogen bonds mediate the characteristic L-shaped molecular structure. tRNAs have two regions of fundamental functional importance: the anti-codon, which is responsible for specific mRNA codon recognition, and the 3' end, to which the tRNAs corresponding amino acid is attached (by aminoacyl-tRNA synthetases). tRNAs cope with the degeneracy of the genetic code in two manners: having more than one tRNA (with a specific anti-codon) for a particular amino acid; and 'wobble' base-pairing, i.e. permitting non-standard base-pairing at the 3rd anti-codon position. Lineage: Bacteria; Pseudomonadati; Thermodesulfobacteriota; Desulfobulbia; Desulfobulbales; Desulfobulbaceae. The record is from RNAcentral. RNAcentral also lists the same sequence under 1 other name.